This 1340-nucleotide ribosomal RNA is filed under the name uncultured Bacteroidota bacterium. Its description in RNAcentral is "bacterial SSU rRNA". It matches the Rfam family "Bacterial small subunit ribosomal RNA", at positions 27 to 1364 of the family's 1533-position model. Lineage: Bacteria; Pseudomonadati; Bacteroidota. The record is from RNAcentral.
GGAUGAACGCUAGCGACAGGCCUAACACAUGCAAGUCGAGGGGCAGCAUUUCUAGCUUGCUAGAAGAUGGCGACCGGCGCACGGGUGAGUAACGCGUAUGCAACCUACCUUAUACUGGGGGAUAGCCCAGAGAAAUCUGGAUUAAUACCGCAUAACAAUGUUUUAUCGCAUGGUAAGAUAUUUAAAACUCCGGUGGUAUAAGAUGGGCAUGCGUAGCAUUAGUUAGUUGGUGAGGUAACGGCUCACCAAGACGAUGAUGCUUAGGGGGUCUGAGAGGAUAGUCCCCCACACUGGUACUGAGACACGGACCAGACUCCUACGGGAGGCAGCAGUGAGGAAUAUUGGUCAAUGGGCGAAAGCCUGAACCAGCCAUGUCGCGUGCAGGAUGACGGCCCUAUGGGUUGUAAACUGCUUUUUUACAGGAAUAAUUGUCGCUACGUGUAGUGAUUUGAAUGUACUGUAUGAGUAAGGAUCGGCUAACUCCGUGCCAGCAGCCGCGGUAAUACGGAGGAUUCGAGCGUUAUCCGGAUUUAUUGGGUUUAAAGGGUCCGUAGGCGGUUCUUUAAGUCAGUGGUGAAAUCCCAGAGCUCAACUCUGGAACUGCCAUUGAAACUGAAGAACUUGAAUAUGGUUGAGGUAGGCGGAAUACGUUAUGUAGCGGUGAAAUGCAUAGAUAUAACGUAGAACACCAAUUGCGAAGGCAGCUUACUAAGCCAUUAUUGACGCUGAUGGACGAAAGCGUGGGGAGCGAACAGGAUUAGAUACCCUGGUAGUCCACGCCGUAAACGAUGAUUACUCGUUGUGCACAAUACAUCGUGCGUGACUGAGCGAAAGCAUUAAGUAAUCCACCUGGGGAGUACGUUCGCAAGAAUGAAACUCAAAGGAAUUGACGGGGGCCCGCACAAGCGGAGGAACAUGUGGUUUAAUUCGAUGAUACGCGAGGAACCUUACCUGGACUUAAAUGUAGAUUGACCCACUUAGAAAUAGGUGUUCUCAACGGAGCAAUUUACAAGGUGCUGCAUGGUUGUCGUCAGCUCGUGCCGUGAGGUGUCGGGUUAAGUCCCAUAACGAGCGCAACCCCUAUCGUUAGUUGCUAGCAGGUAAUGCUGAGGACUCUAGCGAGACUGCCACCGUAAGGUGAGAGGAAGGUGGGGAUGACGUCAAAUCAGCACGGCCCUUACGUCCAGGGCUACACACGUGUUACAACGGCCGAUACAAAGGGCAGCUACCUGGUGACAGGAUGCUAAUCUCUAAAGUCGGUCUCAGUUCGGAUCGGAGUCUGCAACACGACUCCGUGAAGUUGGAUUCGCUAGUAAUCGUAUAUCAGCAAUGAUACGGUG